RNAcentral lists this ribosomal RNA (253 nucleotides) under uncultured bacterium. Its description in RNAcentral is "partial 16S ribosomal RNA". It matches the Rfam family "Bacterial small subunit ribosomal RNA", at positions 524 to 776 of the family's 1533-position model. The record is from RNAcentral.
UACGGAGGAGGCAAGCGUUAUCCGGAAUUACUGGGCGUAAAGCGUGCGCAGGCGGUUGUGCCAGACAGAUGUGAAAUCCCCGGGCUUAACCUGGGAAUUGCAUCUGUGACUGCAUAGCUAGAGUACGGUAGAGGGGGAUGGAAUUCCGCGUGUAGCAGUGAAAUGCGUAGAUAUGCGGAGGAACACCGAUGGCGAAGGCAAUCCCCUGGACCUGUACUGACGCUCAUGCACGAAAGCGUGGGGAGCAAACAGG